Molecule: small nucleolar RNA, 134 nt
Organism: Onychostoma macrolepis
Lineage: Eukaryota; Metazoa; Chordata; Actinopteri; Cypriniformes; Cyprinidae
Product: small nucleolar RNA SNORA57
Exons: 1
Source: RefSeq, a predicted model, not a curated record
CCUCCUUCUUGGCAUACUCGUGGUUUUUUUGUACCCUUGUGUGUAUGUGUGGAGGAAUAAUAGAGCCAGUGCAAUGUCUUCGGUACCAGCAUGUUUCCCAUCGGCUGGUUCUAUCCUCAAUCACUGGAACACCU